This 876-nucleotide ribosomal RNA is filed under the name uncultured Nitrososphaerota archaeon. Its description in RNAcentral is "bacterial SSU rRNA". It matches the Rfam family "Archaeal small subunit ribosomal RNA", at positions 21 to 903 of the family's 1478-position model. The record is from RNAcentral. Lineage: Archaea; Thermoproteati; Nitrososphaerota.
ACCUGACUGCUAUCGGAUUGAUACUAAGCCAUGCGAGUCAUUGUAGCAAUACAAGGCAGACGGCUCAGUAACGCGUAGUCAACCUAACCUAUGGACGGGAAUAACCUCGGGAAACUGAGAAUAAUGCCCGAUAGAACACUAUAUCUGGAAUGGUUUGUGUUCCAAAUGAUUUAUCGCCGUAGGAUGGGACUGCGGCCUAUCAGUUUGUUGGUGAGGUAAUGGCCCACCAAGACUAUUACAGGUACGGGCUCUGAGAGGAGUAGCCCGGAGAUGGGUACUGAGACACGGACCCAGGCCCUAUGGGGCGCAGCAGGCGAGAAAACUUUGCAAUGUGCGAAAGCACGACAAGGUUAAUCCGAGUGAUUUGUGCUAAACGAAUCUUUUGUUAGUUCUAGAAAUACUAACGAAUAAGGGGUGGGCAAGUUCUGGUGUCAGCCGCCGCGGUAAAACCAGCACCUCAAGUGGUCAGGAUGAUUAUUGGGCCUAAAGCAUCCGUAGCCGGAUCUGUAAGUUUUCGGUUAAAUCUGUACGCUUAACGUACAGGCUGCCGGGAAUACUGCCGAUCUAGGGAGUGGGAGAGGUAGACGGUACUCGGUAGGAAGGGGUAAAAUCCUUUGAUCUAUUGAUGACCACCUGUGGCGAAGGCGGUCUACCAGAACACGUCCGACGGUGAGGGAUGAAAGCUGGGGGAGCAAACCGGAUUAGAUACCCGGGUAGUCCCAGCUGUAAACUAUGCAAACUCAGUGAUGCAUUGACUUGUGGUCAAUGCAGUGCUGCAGGGAAGCCGUUAAGUUUGCCGCCUGGGAAGUACGUACGCAAGUAUGAAACUUAAAGGAAUUGGCGGGGGAGCACCACAAGGGGUGAAGCCUGCGGUUC